RNAcentral lists this ribosomal RNA (489 nucleotides) under uncultured bacterium. Its description in RNAcentral is "partial 16S ribosomal RNA". It matches the Rfam family "Bacterial small subunit ribosomal RNA", at positions 32 to 523 of the family's 1533-position model. The record is from RNAcentral.
AAUCAACGCUGGCGGCGUGCCUAACACAUGCAAGUCGAGCGAGAAAAGGGGAGCAAUCCCCUGAGUACAGCGGCGCACGGGUGAGUAACACGUGGGUAAUCUGCCCUGGAGUGGGGAAUAACACCGGGAAACCGGUGCUAAUACCGCAUACGAUCACAGAGUCUGCGGCUUUUGUGAUGAAAGGAGCAAUUCGCUCUAGGAGGAGCCCGCGGCUGAUUAGCUAGUUGGUGAGGUAAUGGCUCACCAAGGCAACGAUCAGUAUCCGGUCUGAGAGGACGGUCGGACACACUGGAACUGAGACACGGUCCAGACUCCUACGGGAGGCAGCAGUGGGGAAUUUUUGGCAAUGGGGGCAACCCUGACCAAGCAACGCCGCGUGGGUGAUGAAGUCUCUUGGGACGUAAAACCCUUUCGACGGGGACGAAACCGUAAGGUUGACGGUACCCGUAGAAGAAGCCCCGGCUAACUCCGUGCCAGCCGCCGCUGUAA